This 1302-nucleotide ribosomal RNA is filed under the name Triticum aestivum (bread wheat). RNAcentral describes it as "partial small subunit ribosomal RNA". Lineage: Eukaryota; Viridiplantae; Streptophyta; Magnoliopsida; Poales; Poaceae. The record is from RNAcentral.
AUGAAGGGCGCGUCCGUCCCCGCGGUUGUGGGCAUGCCUUCGCCGCUCUUUCUUUGGCGGUUUAAGGCUAUAUUGUUUCUCCUAUGGGGUUUAUGCUGUUGUAAGAUAGGGUGGGACUCGGUUAUGAGGAUGAGUGCUGAUCUGCGAGAUUUAUUUCUGUAUGAGGUUUUCUUAUACUAUAAUCCUCUCUUUCUUGUGGCACUUAUGAUUUGGUUAUGGGGAGUGAAUUUGUGGGUCUUUGCACAAUCAUCAGUGAAUUAUGUAAAGGUGUUUGAUCUUGCGCAAACACAUUUAUCACACCGAGAAAUUUGGAGGUGUGCUACUUGGCUUACUUUAAUUGUUCCCACAAGUAUGACAGCUUACCUAUACCUGUACUCACAUGGGGAAGUGUCACUUGCUGCUUCUCAACCAGUUCUGUUGUAUGCUAUCCUUUUGAUAGUCCUCCUUUCUCCGUUUGAUAUGUUUUAUUUAUCAUCGCGCUUUUACUUCCUGAGGACAAUGUUGCGUAUAAUACUUCCAUUGCAAGCAAUUACAUUCCCCGACUUCUUUUUGGCUGAUAUUUUUACAUCCAUGUCAAAGGUGUUCUCAGAUUUGGAACGUUCAGUUUGUCGCAUGGUCAAUCGUCAGGUGGCGACAAUCGCUUGGUUUGAAGCUGAUUCAAUUUGUGGUAGCCACUCUAUAGCUAUUCCUCUAGUCCUCGUGCUCCCUUAUUUGUGUCGUUUCUUCCAAUGCCUUCGACAGUACAAGGAUACAAAGGAGAAGAGUUGUCUUCUGAACGCACUCAAGUACUCGACAGCAGUCCCGGUGAUUUUUUUAUCGGCGCUCAAGUAUCAUGUAUUCCCUGACCAGUGGGUUAGCUUUUACCGGCCCCUCUGGCUUAUUUCGGGGGUUAUAAAUUCGCUGUAUUCCUUCUACUGGGAUAUAAAGCGUGAUUGGGAUUUGAGCAUUUUAACCAGGAUUUUCAUGUUCAAAAGCCCAAGCACAUGGACAAGCCUUCUUUAUGGGCGGAACUGGGUGUAUUACUGGGUGUUAGGCAGCAAUCUCAUUCUCCGCUGCACAUGGACAUACAAGCUGUCGGCGCAUCUUCGGCACAACUACCUCACAGUGUUUGCGAUAACAGCUUUGGAAAUGCUGAGGCGGUUUCAGUGGGUUUUCUUCCGCGUGGAGAAUGAGUGGAACAAGAUGACAGCCAAGCAAAAUUUUGAAAUGUCAUCCGAUAUGCCCUCAGAAUCAGACAGGCUACUGGAGUCUAAUAGUCACACAGGCUCAGAAGGUCAGGGAUACACACCAGUAGGUUUGUAG